Molecule: ribosomal RNA, 492 nt
Filed under: uncultured bacterium
Lineage: Bacteria
Description: partial 16S ribosomal RNA
Rfam family: Bacterial small subunit ribosomal RNA
Source: RNAcentral
AGUGAACGCUGGCGGUAGGCCUAACACAUGCAAGUCGAACGGCAGCACAAUAAGAGCUUGCUCUUACGGGUGGCGAGUGGCGGACGGGUGAGGAAUACAUCGGAAUCUACUUUUUCGUGGGGGAUAACGUAGGGAAACUUACGCUAAUACCGCAUACGACCUACGGGUGAAAGCAGGGGAUCUUCGUACCUUGCGCGAUUGAAUGAGCCGAUGUCGGAUUAGCUAGUUGGCGGGGUAAAGGCCCACCAAGGCGACGAUCCGUAGCUGGUCUGAGAGGAUGAUCAGCCACACUGGAACUGAGACACGGUCCAGACUCCUACGGGAGGCAGCAGUGGGGAAUAUUGGACAAUGGGCGCAAGCCUGAUCCAGCCAUACCGCGUGGGUGAAGAAGGCCUUCGGGUUGUAAAGCCCUUUUGUUGGGAAAGAAAAGCAGCAGGUUAAUACCCCGCUGUUCUGACGGUACCCAAAGAAUAAGCACCGGCUAACUUCGUG